CACAAUACCCCCUACAGGUUGUCUUGAAAGGGGAGUCAUACCUAGCGUACCCAGCCAGUGAGAGGACGACUGUUUACACAGCUGCUUCCUCAGUCAGCUCAAAGACUGCCAGUAUCUGCGCAUGAGGGUUGAUUUUUUUUCCCCCCAGUCUUUGUGGCAGCCCCUUGAUUUGGUUUGCAGUGGUGGUACUGCAAUCCAAAUCAAGGGGAUCAACCUUCUGAAUGGGACAAUCCUACUUUGAAGUUAACCUGCCUUCUUUCCUCUCAGGGAGUCUUCAAGAAGACUGGAUACUUAAUCCCACUUUAUGGAAGUCUGAACAUAGUCUUAGCUUCAUGUUAGAUUGCAUCUUAGUCUGAAUCUGUGUUAAAACAGUGAUGCCUCACCAUUAUGCAGCACCGGCUGAAUUCAGCCUUCACCAUUUUCCUGGGAUAGGCACAUACUAAUUCUGAAAAGCUGGGAUUCUGGGAAUAGCUAGUGAAACAAGUGGUAGUGUCCUUGAGAUUUCUGCAAUGCUUUUGAUGACACCAAAUGUGUUUUUGUUUUGCAGCACACCAGAAUGGGUAGGGAGGGAAUGUCCUAUAAAUCAGUGCACACCAACACCAACAUCAAGGGUUGACUAACUGUCCCUGGGUAUGAUAACUAUUCAUUCAGAAAGUUAUAUCUCUUGAGAAGAGGAGCUUCUAUCACUUACAUCUCUAUCAAGGUUCUGCCAGUGCCAGCGUUUGGUUUCUCUGCUUUGAUCCUGCUACCAAAGCUUCUUCUGGGACCAGAAAAAUGCUCCUGGAGCUGCAACAGUGCUGCAUCAAACCAGGCUGAGAAGUGACACAGCUAUUAGGAAAUUUCUCCAAACGAAGGCAAGCUAUGGGGGUCUCCUAGUAACGUUGGACCAACAAGACAUACUGGGAAUGCUGUUUGUGUCCUGCCUACCCCACUGCCCAACAGCUUCCUUGUUCAAACUACUGGAGAUAGUCCCUAAUGUGGUGUUGUGGAAUCCCAGAAUGGUACUUGGAGUUGGGAAUGGGACUCGAUCACCUCUGAAGUCCCUUCCACCUCCAUGAUUUUAUGAUUCAACAUAGGCUGGGGACAACUUGGGAUUUUGUGGCUUCCAUGAAAGUCUGAAACUGUCACAAUAUUACUCAUCCUCUGUACAGAGGGGAGCACACCCUUUAAAUAGAUUUGGCCACAAAGACUGGCUACAUGCAAAUUAUAAUACGCAUUCAAACAGUUUUCACAGCAUGAUGAUCAUACAUGAUAAUAAUUAUCUUGAGUAAUUUAGGUCUGAAUUCAGGCCUGGGUUGGGCCUGAAAUGGUUCCCAGUGGGACAGGUUAUUGUCCUGGGUUCUUUUUUUACUCUUGUCUUUAUUUGUAAACUGCUUUUUGUAGCUCAUUAUGGGACGUGGUAUUUUAAAUAAAUA
RNAcentral lists this long non-coding RNA (1415 nucleotides) under Salvator merianae (Argentine black and white tegu). RNAcentral describes it as "lncRNA (ENSSMRG00000011208.1)". The record is from RNAcentral. Lineage: Eukaryota; Metazoa; Chordata; Lepidosauria; Squamata; Teiidae.